AAAAUGCAGAAUCUGGAAACAGAGCAAAUGGAUCCAAAGUUGCAAAGCAUUCUGUUAAAGUUUCUUAUGUACCAAAAGAAAGUGGGGAGACCAUAAUGGAAUCUCCGAAGGUUCACAGUAUUCCAGUUUCCUAUACCUCUGAUGGAAAUGAGGGGAUUGCAGGAUCACCUGCUAUUCAUAAAUUAUUCAAGAAAUGGUUGAACAUGUUGCGCACA
Molecule: unclassified non-coding RNA, 215 nt
Filed under: Hevea brasiliensis (rubber tree)
Lineage: Eukaryota; Viridiplantae; Streptophyta; Magnoliopsida; Malpighiales; Euphorbiaceae
Source: RNAcentral